AUUUUAUCUCAACUAAUAUACUUCCUCUUUUUUACGGUAAAUGAUUAUUUGGACGAAGGCGACGCAAAAAUGACGAAUCAAGGAACCUGGAUACAGUUAGACAGUUUCACAUGCCCAGCAGCUGGUUGUAGCGCAAGAACAAAAGGGAAAUGGGUCUGUGCUACAGAUAAUUCGGAUAUGUACAUCAAUGAACUGGGUAAAAUGAAGUGUUACAAUGGUACACACAUUGCUGAUCUCUGCAAGUGGGGAUGGAACUGUGGUAGCAGCUCCCACAAUGGCAAGUUUGUGACUGCGGACUUCGAGGGAUUCUCAUUCGCACUUUCACAGGCGGUACAACUGAUGACGAAAGGCGGUUCUGAAUGGGUUUCAAAAUUGGUUAUCGAAAUUGGAAAACAAUACGGCAAUAAGUGAAGCACUUUUUCUUCUGUUUGCCAGGAAAGUAGGCUUUGACCACAUGUGAAAUUUAAAUUGCUUUUACAAACGUCAUUUCUUGAUUGAAGAAGGACAUUCGUUGACUUUUUUUCGAAAUGAAACAAAACAUAUAUAUUAUAAUGCAUGACGACAAAUACAAAUAUACGAAUAUAUGUCAUUUUUGAAGCAUCUUUAAUAGUUCUUUAAUAUAUUAUUCACCCAUUUGUUACGCGAAAACAAACCAUUCAUACACACCGAUACUAGAGACAUGAUUUUUAUAUCCAUUUGUCUCAAUACGACUUUUUUUUCUAAUUAACAUGCUUUUUUUUAAAUAAUAAACUUUUAAAAUAUGAAGACAUACAAAAGAGGCAACGGUUGAUGUACAACUAUUUUGUGUUUGUGUAUGUAUGUGUUAUCUGUUUAGCCUGUUUGUAUGAAACUCUCAAAACAUCUAUUGUCAUUAUUGAAACAUAGCGUUAGUUAGCCGAAGUUGUGUGAUAUUCCCUGUGAAUUUUAAUAUAUUAAUAAAUUGAACAAAGUAAUAUAAAAAAAAAUCAAAUAAUAUUUAAAAAGCGAAAAGAUGUAUUUUCGAUAACAUUACAAAUUACCUGUUAUCAGGCGUUGUAAUCUGGAUUUUUGUAUCGACAGCUUUUUUUAAAGCUCUUUUCAGCUUAAAUGUUCGACAGCUAUUUUUAAAUCUCUUUUCAGCUUAAAUGUUAAACUGACACGGGCCGCAACAAAUGCAAAACGAUGUUUAAAAAAAAGCUUUGUGGUUUAAUGAGACAUGCACGCAUAACAAAAGAGAGUUUUAUGGAUUUAAGAUAAUCUCUAAAUGUUAGCUCUGUAAUGUAAAAAAUACUGGGUUUUUAACAUGCAAGAAAUAAAAAUGUCUGCCUUAAAAGGAAUUUCAAACGUGAUUAUUACAAUUAAGAAAAACAUACAUAAGAGAAAAUAAGAAAAUACCAUUCGAAACAUUGUUGGUGACACAUACACAGAUAUCAAAACAAACAUGGUUCAAAUAGUUAUGAUAUCAACAUGGGAUUUUUUUCUACCAUUAUAGACAAUAAUCGAAUUAUGUGUAUAACAUGCAAUUCAUGCGUAUUACACUAUUUUACAAGCAUGUUUGUGCUUUUACUGUAGACGAAGUCAGAAACACGAUAUCUAACAUGUAACAUUAUAAAAGCCGUGAAUUGUUCAAUAAUGAAACUGAUUUUUUUAUUGAUUUGCAAGAAUUUUAUCUCCCUAUAAUUGAUGUCAUUUCAAAACAUAUUUUCUUCAUAUUAACGAUACUGAAUGAACAGUUAAGGUGAAUCUGUAUUUAAUCCUCUUAAAUUCGAUUUCAAAGACAAGCGAUGUACGUCCGAUUGUAUUUGUAUCUUACAAACCAUUAUCAAAAUAAACUGUUGCAUAAACAUAA
This is a long non-coding RNA of Dreissena polymorpha, 1828 nucleotides long. RefSeq lists it as uncharacterized. NCBI's taxonomy places the organism in Eukaryota, Metazoa, Mollusca, Bivalvia, Myida, Dreissenidae. The record is from RefSeq and is a predicted model, not a curated record. The transcript is spliced from 4 exons.